RNAcentral lists this ribosomal RNA (340 nucleotides) under Alcanivorax sp. K5R2. RNAcentral describes it as "bacterial SSU rRNA". It matches the Rfam family "Bacterial small subunit ribosomal RNA", at positions 1116 to 1435 of the family's 1533-position model. Lineage: Bacteria; Pseudomonadati; Pseudomonadota; Gammaproteobacteria; Oceanospirillales; Alcanivoracaceae. The record is from RNAcentral.
UCCUAGCUUGCUAGGAGGCGUCGAGCGGCGGACGGGUGAGUAACACGUGAGAAUCUGCCCAUUAGUGGGGGAUAACCUGGGGGACGACGUCAAGUCAUCAUGGCCCUUACGGCCUGGGCUACACACGUGCUACAAUGGGCAGUACAGAGGGCAGCGAGGUCGCGAGGCCAAGCAAAUCCCUUAAAACUGUUCGUAGUCCGGAUUGGAGUCUGCAACUCGACUCCAUGAAGUCGGAAUCGCUAGUAAUCGCGGAUCAGAAUGCCGCGGUGAAUACGUUCCCGGGCCUUGUACACACCGCCCGUCACACCAUGGGAGUGGAUUGCACCAGAAGUAGUUAGUC